UACAGAGGCCCCAAGCGUUACUGAGAAUCACUGGGUUUAAAGGGCGCGUAGGCGGCCACCGCAAGUCGACUGUGAAAUCUCCGGGCUUAACCCGGAAAGGUCAGCCGAUACUGCGGGGCUAGAGUGCAGAAGGGGCAACUGGAAUUCUCGGUGUAGCGGUGAAAUGCGUAGAUAUCGAGAGGAACACCUGCGGCGAAGGCGGGUUGCUGGGCUGACACUGACGCUGAUGCGCGAAAGCUAGGGGAGCGAACGGG
Molecule: ribosomal RNA, 254 nt
Filed under: uncultured bacterium
Lineage: Bacteria
Description: partial 16S ribosomal RNA
Rfam family: Bacterial small subunit ribosomal RNA
Source: RNAcentral